Molecule: long non-coding RNA, 441 nt
Organism: Pogonomyrmex barbatus (red harvester ant)
Lineage: Eukaryota; Metazoa; Arthropoda; Insecta; Hymenoptera; Formicidae
Source: RefSeq, a predicted model, not a curated record
ACUUUAGACAAUUUCUAAUUCUUGAUAUAUAUAGAAGAAAUUUUUCGAAAGGAUGUUUAACAUAUCAUAUUAUGUUAGUGAAUGAUAGUAAUAAUGACAUAGCAAAAUAAAUAAAUAACGAAUAACGAUAAUGCUGGUUUCCAAAUAGAUACUGACAUCAAAUCAUUUUAUCAAAUAGCCUCAAAUAGCCUCUUUUACACUUUCGUAAAAAUAUUAAUUGCCAUACGAAAACGAAAACUUUUAUUGUCACUUUCUCGAGAAUGCUUUCUCGAAAAUAGUAUUUCUGAUGACUUCAAUAUAAUAUUAAUAUUAAUAAAUAUAACAUGCUUAGAAAAUCUCAUUGGUGAUGUCGACUGUAUUACAUAGACGAGUUUCCAUUGUGAAACUUGCUUCAAAUUUCAAUAUUUUAUAUAUCAAAUAAUAAUAAAUGUCAUCAACGUU